AGGACGAACGCUGGCGGCGUGCUUAACACAUGCAAGUCGAGCGGUAAGGCCCUUCGGGGUACACGAGCGGCGAACGGGUGAGUAACACGUGGGUGAUCUGCCUCGCACUCUGGGAUAAGCCUGGGAAACUGGGUCUAAUACCGGAUAUGACCACGAAUCGCAUGGUUUGUGGUGGAAAGGUUUACUGGUGCGAGAUGGGCCCGCGGCCUAUCAGCUUGUUGGUGGGGUAACGGCCUACCAAGGCGACGACGGGUAGCCGGCCUGAGAGGGCGACCGGCCACACUGGGACUGAGACACGGCCCAGACUCCUACGGGAGGCAGCAGUGGGGAAUAUUGCACAAUGGGCGAAAGCCUGAUGCAGCGACGCCGCGUGAGGGAUGACGGCCUUCGGGUUGUAAACCUCUUUCGACAGGGACGAAGCGCAAGUGACGGUACCUGUAGAAGAAGCACCGGCCAACUACGUGCCAGCAGCCGCGGUAAUACGUAGGGUGCGAGCGUUGUCCGGAAUUACUGGGCGUAAAGAGCUUGUAGGCGGUCUGUCGCGUCGAUCGUGAAAACGUGCAGCUCAACUGCGCGCCUGCGGUCGAUACGGGCAGACUAGAGUACUUCAGGGGAGACUGGAAUUCCUGGUGUAGCGGUGAAAUGCGCAGAUAUCAGGAGGAACACCGGUGGCGAAGGCGGG
RNAcentral lists this ribosomal RNA (682 nucleotides) under Nocardia otitidiscaviarum. RNAcentral describes it as "bacterial SSU rRNA". It matches the Rfam family "Bacterial small subunit ribosomal RNA", at positions 26 to 725 of the family's 1533-position model. Lineage: Bacteria; Bacillati; Actinomycetota; Actinomycetes; Mycobacteriales; Nocardiaceae. The record is from RNAcentral.